GCAAGUCGUACGUGAAAGUGGACUUCGGUCCGCGAGUAAAGUGGCGCACGGGUGAGUAACACGUGAAUAAUCUACCCGGUGACCUGGGAUAACACUUUAAAAAGAGUGAUAAUACCAGAUAAGCUCACGAUGUCUUAGGACGAUGUGGGAAAAGGUGGGGACCUUCGGGCCUACCAUCACCGGAUGAGUCCGCGGCCCAUUAGCUAGUUGGCGGGGUAAUGGCCUACCAAGGCUACGAUGGGUAGCUGGUCUGAGAGGAUGAUC
RNAcentral lists this ribosomal RNA (264 nucleotides) under uncultured bacterium. Its description in RNAcentral is "partial 16S ribosomal RNA". It matches the Rfam family "Bacterial small subunit ribosomal RNA", at positions 57 to 305 of the family's 1533-position model. The record is from RNAcentral.